GACGAACGCUGGCGGCGUGCUUAACACAUGCAAGUCGAACGGAAAGGCCCUGCUUUUGUGGGGUGCUCGAGUGGCGAACGGGUGAGUAACACGUGAGUAACCUGCCCUUGACUUUGGGAUAACUUCAGGAAACUGGGGCUAAUACCGGAUAGGGGCUCCUGCUGCAUGGUGGGGGUUGGAAAGUUUCGGCGGUUGGGGAUGGACGCGCGGCUUAUCAGCUUGUUGGUGGGGUAGUGGCUUACCAAGGCUUUGACGGGUAGCCGGCCUGAGAGGGUGACCGGCCACAUUGGGACUGAGAUACGGCCCAGACUCCUACGGGAGGCAGCAGUGGGGAAUAUUGCACAAUGGGCGGAAGCCUGAUGCAGCAACGCCGCGUGCGGGAUGACGGCCUUCGGGUUGUAAACCGCUUUCGCCUGUGACGAAGCGUGAGUGACGGUAAUGGGUAAAGAAGCACCGGCUAACUACGUG
Molecule: ribosomal RNA, 468 nt
Filed under: uncultured bacterium
Lineage: Bacteria
Description: partial 16S ribosomal RNA
Rfam family: Bacterial small subunit ribosomal RNA
Source: RNAcentral